Neofelis nebulosa (Clouded leopard) is the source of this 852-nucleotide long non-coding RNA. RefSeq lists it as uncharacterized. Lineage: Eukaryota; Metazoa; Chordata; Mammalia; Carnivora; Felidae. The record is from RefSeq and is a predicted model, not a curated record. The transcript has 4 exons.
CCCUCGAGCUCCGCCCCGGAGACGCCGAUGCGGGGCGGCCCCGGCGGGGAGAAGCGCGCGGAAGGGGUUGCGGAGGGGAUGCUGACCCUGGAGGGCCAAAGAGCCCCCCGAGACAGGCCAGUCCACCAAGCUUCCGGCGUGCCUAAGCCACGGUCACGGGCACCGUAUUACACAUUUUUUGAAGCUUAUUUAUUUAUUUUGAGAGAGGUAGAGAAAGAAUCCCAAGCGGCUCUGUGCUGACAGCCCGAUGUGGGGAUCGAACGCUUGAACUGUGAGAUCAUGAUCGGAGCCAAAAUCAAGAGUCAGAUGCUUAAUCGACUGAGCCACCCAGCCUCCCCCAGAUGCAUUAUUAACUUGGCUAGCAGCAAGACCUCAUAAAUGCAAAGUAACCAUUCAAGGACACCACUUCCAGCUUGUAAUGUAUAAGGACGCAACUGACCAAUUCCAGGGAUCCUUGUGGAUAAGGAAUAAACUCUGUGAAUGCAAGAUGCCAUAUUGUGAGCUAAGCUGUGGAUAGACCCUCUGGCAAGCAACUGAGGGCAGACUCCAGAUAAUACCCAGAAAGGAACUGAAACUCUGAGUCCAACAACCCAAAGGAACUGAAUCCUCCCAACAACCAUAUGAGCUUGGAGGUAGAUUCUUCCCCAAUCAGAUCUUCAGAUAAGAAUCCAACUCCUAGCCAACUCCUUAAUUGCAGCCUCAUGAGAAGUCCCAAAGCAGAGGACUCAGCUAAGCCAUGUCUGGAUUCUUGAUUCACACAAACUCUGAGGUAAUAGAUGUGUGUUGUUUUAAGCCACUACUUUUGUGUAUGCACCAACAGAUAACUAAUAAAAACACCUACUGAUGUUCUAA